This 97-nucleotide microRNA precursor is filed under the name Equus caballus (horse). Its description in RNAcentral is "mir-9058 microRNA precursor family". It matches the Rfam family "mir-9058 microRNA precursor family". The record is from Rfam by way of RNAcentral. Lineage: Eukaryota; Metazoa; Chordata; Mammalia; Perissodactyla; Equidae.
GUGGCUGCUGGUUUGGUGCUUUCUACUGGUGCUGUGCAGAGGCUUCCCCUGAGGCUGCUGUGAGCCUAUAGGGUUUCCCCCUAGGCUACAGAGCUGG